Long non-coding RNA from Amphibalanus amphitrite, 770 nucleotides. RefSeq lists it as uncharacterized. Lineage: Eukaryota; Metazoa; Arthropoda; Thecostraca; Balanomorpha; Balanidae. The record is from RefSeq and is a predicted model, not a curated record. The transcript has 3 exons.
GCUCUUCCGAUCUGAAGAUUCCAUUGCCGAAUGGUGGUAGGGAUAAAGGACUUACGGAAGGAUGUUAAACGGGUAGUAGGGACUGAGAGAAGUUGGGCUUGGCGUAGUCUUAGUCCCGUAGCUCUUUGUCUCGUGUUUGUUAUGAGGUUUGUCAGGUAUGAGGGGAGGGGAGGGUCGUUGUAGAAUAGUCGAUGGAAAAAUAUCAGUCUGUGUAUGCGUCGUCUGUCUGCCAGUCGUUCCCAGCCUAAAUCUUUAAGUAGAGCGUCAGUAGAUGUUCGAAAUAGGGCCCCAGUCACCAGUCUUGCGCAGCGAUUUUGUAAAGUUUGCAGUCUCGCUGAGUCGAACAAGGUCAAGUGUCCAUCGUAAAUAAUGUCGCAAUAGUCGAAGUGUGGUCUAAUGUAUGUCGUAAUCAAGUCAUUCAGCACACGUCUCGGUAAGAAUUUCGCAAUAGGGUAAACUGGUCCUAAAUGAUAGUUCACUGUCUUGAUGAUCGAAUUUACAUGUUCGUGGAAAUGUAGGUCAGUUGAAAAGGUGAGGCCGAGAUGUUUGUGACUUGUUGAACUUGGUAUUCUUUGUCCGUUAAACUUUAAUUCUGGAUUUGAGUUAUUCUGUUUGUUUGUAAAUGUUUGCAAUACUGUUUUUUGUGCACUAAAAGUAAUAGCCCAUUCUGAUCCAUAUUUACUGAUAUUGUCUAAGUCGUUUUGUAGGGAUUGUAAAUGUGUUUUGCUGUUCUGUGGAUAGGAGGAAUAUAAAGAAGUAUCGUCUGCAUA